GACAGAGGGUGCAAGCGUUGUUCGGAAUUACUGGGCGUAAAGCGCAUGUAGGCGGCCUAGCAGGUCGGAUGUGAAAUCCCUCGGCUCAACCAAGGAAGUGCAUUCGAAACCGCAAGGCUCGAGUCCCGGAGAGGAUGGUGGAAUUCUCGGUGUAGAGGUGAAAUUCGUAGAUAUCGAGAGGAACACCGGCGGCGAAGGCGGCGAUCUGGACGGUGACUGACGCUGAGACGCGAAAGCGUGGGGAGCAAACAGG
This 253-nucleotide ribosomal RNA is filed under the name uncultured bacterium. RNAcentral describes it as "partial 16S ribosomal RNA". It matches the Rfam family "Bacterial small subunit ribosomal RNA", at positions 524 to 776 of the family's 1533-position model. The record is from RNAcentral.